CUUAUAUUAAUGCUUUCAAUUUUGUUUUACAAGCCAGGAAAUGUGAAGAGUUCACCUGGAAAUAAAUAGAAAACUCUACGCUCUACCCAUUAUAAUCAGUUAUAGGUAAACAUUGGAAACUCCAGACAGUAACUCAGUAUUUCUACAGACAAAUGGCAGAAUCAGUAUUGGAUAUAGUAAACUGGCUUUCAUCAGGAAAAACAUUAAGCCUUUCUGCUGGUUUGGGUGAUGCCAUAUUACAGGCCAACUAAUCUGCAAUCUUUCACGUGGAAAUAAUGUACAAGCCUUAGAACCCCUCAUUCUUAUAUCACUAUUUUAUAUAAUUAAAAGUCCAGAUUCCAACAAA
This is a long non-coding RNA of Rattus rattus (black rat), 346 nucleotides long. RefSeq lists it as uncharacterized. NCBI's taxonomy places the organism in Eukaryota, Metazoa, Chordata, Mammalia, Rodentia, Muridae. The record is from RefSeq and is a predicted model, not a curated record. The transcript is spliced from 2 exons.